GACGAACGCUGGCGGCGCGCUUAACACAUGCAAGUCGAGCGAGAACCAGACCUUCGGGUCUGGGGACAGCGGCGAACGGGUGAGUAACACGUGGGUAAUCAACCCUCGGUACUGGGAUAGCCCGGGGAAACCCGGAUUAAUACCGGAUGGCCUUUCGGAUCUUCGGUUCUGAAGGAAAAGGUAGCUUCGGCCUCCGACCGAGGACGAGCCCGCGGCGGAUUAGCUUGUUGGUGGGGUACCGGCCUACCAAGGCGGCGAUCCGUAGCUGGUCUGAGAGGACGAUCAGCCACACUGGGACUGAGACACGGCCCAGACUUCUACGGAAGGCAGCAGUGGGGAAUCUUGCGCUAAUGCGGGAAACCGUGACGCAGCGACGCCGCGUGAGGGAAGAAGGCCUUCGGGUUGUAAACCUCUUUCAGGAGGGACGAAGCUACUCGGGUUAAUAGCCCAGAGGGUGACGGUACCUUCAGAAGAAGCCCCGGCUAACUACGUGCCAGCCGCCGCCGUAA
RNAcentral lists this ribosomal RNA (509 nucleotides) under uncultured bacterium. RNAcentral describes it as "partial 16S ribosomal RNA". It matches the Rfam family "Bacterial small subunit ribosomal RNA", at positions 28 to 523 of the family's 1533-position model. The record is from RNAcentral.